Orcinus orca (killer whale) is the source of this 4344-nucleotide long non-coding RNA. RefSeq lists it as uncharacterized. Lineage: Eukaryota; Metazoa; Chordata; Mammalia; Artiodactyla; Delphinidae. The record is from RefSeq and is a predicted model, not a curated record. The transcript is spliced from 2 exons.
CCUCGUCGACAAUCUUCACGAAGCGGUCGAUCUGCUCUGGGCCUGGCGAGCAGAAGUCUGGGAUGCGCAGUCGGUGCAGGGUGAGGCCGGGGCAGCUGUCGCUGUGCGGGGGCCCGCGCUCCGUCAGUGACACCAGAUGAGAAAACUGAAGCUCUGGAGAGGUUCAGGAACUUGACCAAGAGAUGACUGUUGGUGGGGGGUUUGAAACCAAGCAGCCUGGCUCCAGAAUCUUUAACAAAACGGUAUUGUAUUCUAAAGUUAAAUAGAAGGUUACUGCCUUUUUACCUAGCCAUCCUCAUGUCCCUUAGCUGGGUUAAACAGUUGCAGGAUUUGUUAAUUUUUCUUCAUAUUUCCUGAUUCUCAGGUUCUGUGAGUCACCCUUCCCUGGGGAGGCUAGAGUUUCUCUGUGUCAUUCAUAGCAGGUGGGGAACUAGAUCUGAAUACAGUGUCUUAACUGUGAUCUGACUGGUUCAUAUCCUCAUUUGAACAAUGUGCUUCUAGUGAUCAGACUAAUUAUAAUUAUGAAAAUAGUUAACCCUUAUUGAAUUUGCUUAUGUACCAGGCCCUGUGCCAGGUGCUUUCUGGAAGAGCCACAUUGGGAAGGUAUUUUUAUAUCUCUUUUGCACAUGCGUAAUCUGAGGCUUAAAGAAGUUGGUUAACUUAGCCAAGCACACAUAGCUAGUAAGUAGCUGGGCUGGUUGAGCCAAGGUCUCUCUCAUUCCAAGCCCAGCGUACCUAGUCAUGAAGAUGUACUUCCCUCCUUCUGUUCCCAUCUACCCCUGACACACACAUUUGGUUCCAGCAAAAUGAAAAGGAAUUUUUCUUCCUCCAAAGAUCAAAGCCUGCUCUGACCCUGUGGAAAAUGCACUUACCGUUUACCCAGGCAGCUCUGAAGCAUCGCCUCUGCCUACUCUCCCCAGGUUCCAGGAGCUGCCAGAUCUACCCUUUCCCUUUCUUCUGUACAAUCACAGCCCUGAUUAAGCCCUUCCUGUCUGCACUCCCAUUUCCCACACAACUCCCUAUGACUCUUUCUAGCCCAUCCCAAUUUAUUCCUAUUGUGCCCUUCAGCCACCAGUCACCCCUUCUCCCCUCCCAGCAACUCCUCUCAAUCCCUUGCUCAGGAUUUCUGACUGCACUGCCUCUGGAGACAAGACUCCAGCACUUGCUCCUUUCAGGUUGAACUUUUCUCAGUCCCUUUUCCUUGCUGUCCUUUCUUUGCUCCCUCACUCAUAAGGGGAAAACUUCCCACAUCUCUCUCCACUACCCUAUGCCCCUUCCUUGCCUCCUUGAGAUCCAGCUCAAAGCCCAUCUUUUUCAGAAAGAAGACAUUUCGCGGGGGGAGACAGAGAUUCCCAUGUGGGUCUCUGCAGGGGUUGAAGUGCAUCCAUCAACCCACCUGGGCUUCCUUUGUAGGAAUUCCUCCCUCUUUACUGCUCUGCCUCUGGCUUCCAACAGGUCCCUGCCUUGGUCUGUGUCCCAUUGUCAAGAAUAUUAUUUAAUUUUCUGUCUUGGGCCCAGGGGGCCUCACGUUGAAAGAAAAACUCCUUUCUGAUGGUUUCCUGGCUAGGAUCCCGGCAACUAAACAAUGUCAGCUCCCUGCACGUAGCCCCCAACCUCAUGCAAUACUGAGCUUCUUUUCCUUUCUCUUCUGUGUUACCUGACCUUCAGUAAGAUUUAAUCUUCAUACUCCCAUCUCAUUUUAUAUAAAUAUGUACUCCUAGUAUAGCAGUUAGUUUAUUGGAUUGGGGUUAUCUGUGUCAGAGCCAAGAAGGCAUCAUUCCAUCUUCAGAUUUCACACAUCUAAUACAGAGCCUGAUACCCAGUGCUCAAAAUUGUUAAAUGAAUGAAAAAAUAAGUAGAAUGCAUAGGCCAGACUGUGAAGAUACAUUUCUGGGAGUGUAGGAGAGUCUCCAGGACUAUGUGACAAUGUGUGUUUAUGUGUCUUUUUUUUUUUUUUCCACCAGCAAGGUGAGUUUACUCAGGAAUAGUAGAGAAUUGCAAUUCGGGACAAGCAAACUAUGGCAAACCAUAAACAGGUUCUGGGAACAGAGGAGAGGGGCUUGCUUUUAUAGAGGAAAGGAAGAAUUGAGGAGGGCUGUGACAGUUCUUCAUUGGCUGCAGCCGGUGGCAGCUUGUUGUUGAUGGGCCAGAAGGAAAUCUUUCUUCCUUCUGGGGUGUUUGUGUGUCUUUUUUUUUUUUUUUUUUUUGCGGUACGCGGGCCUGUCACUAUUGUGGCCUCUCCCGCUGCGGAGCACAGGCUCCGGACGCGCAGGCUCAGCGGCCAUGGCUCAGGGGCCCAGCCGCUCCACGGCAUGUGGGACCCUCCCAGACCAGGGCACGAACCCGUGUCCCCUGCAUCGGCAGGUGGACUCUCAACCACUGCGCCACCAGGGAAGCCCUGUGUGUCUUUUUAAUUGCAUGAGUUUGAGGACUAUUUGAGUGCGGUGUAGUACCUUCUUGAGAUGUACUUUUUAACAUGUGUGUGCUUUUAAGGAGAGAAUGACUGUGUCAGUAUGAUCCUGGCUAAGUCUAAUUACUGUUUUGUAAAAAGGGAAAAAUAAGCCUUGCUCUUUGCAGAGCCCUGCUCCUGUUGUGUGCGUGUGUUUGAUCUUGUGUGCAUGUAAGUGUGUUGAGGGAGAUAUUUUCCUGGAGAACAAUCUGUUGACACUGACAGUGGGCUGAGUGAUAAGCUUAAUUUCCCUGACUUCAAGGAAUUUACAACAUGCUGGGGGCGGAUUUAGACUCAAAAGUAAUUGUUCUCAUAAUAUAUAGUAAAGUACUAAAUUACUCAUCAAAGACAAUCAGAUCAUAUAUAUUGAAAAGUUAAUUGUGCAGUAAAAAUAAUAAGCACAAGAGAAGUCAGUGGGGGAAAGAUAAACUUGGGUUGGAACCACCGGAAAAGUCUUAUGAGGACAGCGGUCUUCGUUCCCUUUUGUUCUCGGCCCAUAUUGUGAAAUACUGGAAAUAACAUUAUUUGGAAGCUCAACAGAACAGUUUUAGAGCAUCCUAGCUCCCCCUUCCCCAGCUGAUAAGACUGUUUUGACCUAAUUCUCUUUGAUGUUGAGGCCCCCAGUUCCUUGAGGGCUUGAUGCUAGUGGCAGUUGGAGGUGAAACCAGAGACAGAGAUUCCUUUCUCCAAGUAGGUCCCUGUGUCCCACCAAGGCAGAGGAUUGCUUGGGUUUGGGUUCCUGUGGCCCUUGGACUGUAGUCAGAGCUCUCAGUGUCUUAAAUGUUAGGAUCUUUUGUCUAAACACAUCUCACACCUGGGACCCAAUGAUGUGGAAAUUGGGUUACAGAAGGGAUGGUGUGGUAGCCAACCUCAAAGACCACCUCAUGUCUUUUCCACAUUGAUAGGCCUGGCUUGUGUAACAAGUAGAAUAUUGUGGACAUGAUGGUGUGUGACUUCUUAGGUUAAAUCACAAAAGACAGUAUGGUUUUGACUUGCCCUUUUGUGGGAGAAGCCAGCUGCCAUAUUAGGAGGACACUCAAGGAGUCUAAUGAGAGAUCCAUGGGGGGAGGCUUCAUACCAGCAUCACGUACGAGAACUUGCUGUUUUGGAAGUGGAUCCUCUGGCCCCAUCAAGACCUUAGAUGACCUGCCCAACAUCUUGACAAUAACCUCACAGGUUCCCUGAGCCAGAAUCACCCAGCUAGUCCUCCCUUGAAUUUCUUACCCACGGAAACUAUGAGAUAAUAAAUAUUGAUUAUUUUAAGCCAUCAAAUUUAGGGGGAAUUUCUCAUGCAGCAAAUAGGAAAACAAUACAGAUGGGAAUAUUCAGAUAAAAGGAAAGAAGAGAAAUAAUUUCUAAUAAACUUAAGAAGCGAAAUAAUAUCAAGUUUAUUUUUCAAAGAAAAAGUUAUACUAUAAGCAGUUGUAGUCUAAGUGUGCGUGUGUGUUUUUGGGGGAUAGGGUGUUGAGAUAGGUCAGUGCAAAGUUUCCACAUCUGGAGAACCAUGCUGUGUAGAGGAACCAAGCAGAAUAGUUUGGGUGUGGGUUUUGGGUGUUAAUGGUGUGGGAGGUACGGGGUUUGAUGUGGUAUUUGUGUAGUUAGGGACGAUAUACAAAUGAUUUAAUAACUGGCCAUGGCACAGGAGGCAAGCAACCAGAAUGGACCCUCUACCCAUCAGCACCAUUGCCUACAAACAAAUGGUGAUGCUAUCCUGCUGUUAAUGGAUGCACAUUGGUGUCAAGUGUAGAGGCUUUGACAUGAUCUGGGGUGUGGUCAGGUUACCUUGGACAUUUCAAUAUAGGUCUUUCCACAAGAUGGCACUGACAGCCUGAUAGCUUUUCCUUGUUUCACUCGCUCUCUCUCUCUCUCUCUCUUUUUUUUUUUUGUAUUUAUGA